GCCUGGGUGGUUCAGUCGGUUGAGCAUUUGACUUCAGCUCAGGUUAUAAUCUUGAGGUUUGUGGGUUCGAGCCCCACAUCAGGCU
RNAcentral lists this transfer RNA (85 nucleotides) under Felis catus (domestic cat). It matches the Rfam family "tRNA". From Rfam's summary of the family: Transfer RNA (tRNA) molecules are approximately 80 nucleotides in length. Their secondary structure includes four short double-helical elements and three loops (D, anti-codon, and T loops). Lineage: Eukaryota; Metazoa; Chordata; Mammalia; Carnivora; Felidae. The record is from Rfam by way of RNAcentral.